UGGAUACUGGUCAGGAAGUGGCUAAUACCAUUUCUUAAAAACACUGUUUCUUCUUUUAUAUAUUGGACUGAAUUUCACCUCAGGCACAAAUGUAAUCCUGUUUUUUGCAGGGCUCUCCUGAAAUUUUGCCAGGAGUCAACAUAAAUUCAAGUAUAAAAAGAUACACUCCUCCUCUCGAUGAAUUUGAGAUUGAUCAUUGUGUUCUCAAGGAUGAGAACUCUGUUGUUUUCCCUGUGGUACCCGGCCCUUCAAUCUUUUUGGUCACAGCAGGCAAUGGAACAAUGAAGUCAGAAGCUGAAGAAAUAGUUUCUGAGGGCGAUGUGAUGUUCGCACCAGCCAACAGUCGUAUCUGUGUCACUGCUGCAUCGGAGUUGCAUCUGUACAGAGCCGGAGUGAAUAGCAGAUUUUUUAGGCUGGACUGACCAAUGCUUUCACCUGUGAUAUUAGUAGUCAUUUUAGCUUCAUAUGGUGUGAGAAUUAAUGCCGUGUCUGUAUGUUAGCAUAUUUAAAAGUAGUUUUUAAUAUAUAAUCCAGUACAAUAAGUUUAAGUAAUACAUCUAUGAGCUAUCUCUGUGCAUAUAUCCCUUCCUAAGUGAUGAAUAGUUGCAUAGGAGAUAUGCAGAUGCACUAGUGUCUGUAUCUGCAUAUGUUCCUGCAGGCUGAAACUAUUGAGUGUGCAACAUAGUUCAUCAAGUUAUUGGAUACCGUAAUAACUUAUAUUGAUGGCAUAAAGGUCUUGUGCCAAUUAUUGCCACAUUGUUGUUCUUCACAAGUUAUGCAAUUUUCACUUCCAGGCUGAUAUAUUUCUGGUGCCCCAGAUUGAUGCAGCAAUUAAAAGGUUCAACAUUGAUAUGGUAGGCUGUCUUCCUUCCUCAAACUUUGAAUAUCUAAUGGCCAGUGUGCUUUAGACUUUCCUUCAUCUAGGCAAGCUUAUGAUGUUAUUGCUGGUGACAGAUUAAAGUCCGAGUCAAGCAUGCAACCUGUCCGGUAAAAGUUAUACUCCCAAGAUUCAAGAAACACCUAAUAAUAUGGUAGUGCAGGCAGGCAUGUAGACUACAAUUAUAUCGGCAUUCUGUGAUUGUAAUUUUUAUUCUUUUUUCUUGAAGAAUAAAAAUGUAAAUGAUAAUAUUGCUUGAAUUGGUUCCUUUAAAGUCAGGGCAUUGCAUUUGUAACCCCGUAUGAAAUAGUACUACAAAUGCUGAUAAAAAAGUACUAGAAGCGCUGAUGAAAAGUUGCACAACCGUGCACCGCUUUGUUCUAAUUUAUUGAUGUUUGCUUCAGAAAAUGGUUGAUGGAGGAAUUGUUAAUAAUUGGAUGUGUGUGAACUUUGCACAAAAUGUUCAAGAUAAUUUGGCUAGCGGGUUUUGUUCAAAACUCGCAUAGAUGUGCACAAUAUCAGGUAUGGUAUAUACCGCAAGACCUCUUUGUCUUGAUGUUCUCUACAUAUUGUCAAGUAUAUGAUAUCAGACAAGAAGAUAUGGCUAGGAUAUCAGACAAAUAUAUAUGGCAAGGGAACAAGAAAAUCACAAGCAGAUAAGAGGACGUGACAAGAAAAUCUCAAGCAGAUAAGAGGACGUGACACGUGACAGGGAAUCUGGUAGCUUUGAAAGAAAUAGAGACAAGGGGAAUUUGAAAUAGUGGGAAAAGACUGCACCCAGAAAUAAUUCAUGUAGAAAAUCAUUAUUGAAAUACAUUAUUGUAAUACUGUAACAAAAACCUGGAUCUCUAUAUAAGAGACCUUAUUGUAAAUCAUCAGUUUUUGGAAUACAACAUCUUAAAUUUCUCUACAUUCAUUCUUCUUAUGGCAAGCUAAACCUCUUCUCCUACAGUCUACAACAGAUAAACAUGUUCAUCAAUAAGAUAUCAUAUACAAAUAUUAUCUAUUUAUCAUUACAUCAGGGACUCCGGUGAUCCAAUCUGUUUGAAUAGUUUGAUUUAUUUUGAUAAAUAAGAUAGGAUUUUUAUAUGAUAUUUAUAAUUCAUGUUAUGCAUGAUAUUGAUGAAGCAUGUUUAGAAGUUAUAGAUUGUAGAUUUUAUUUUAAACAUGUUUGUUUUUGUCGGAAUAUCUAAUUGCCUACCCUCUUUAGGGUUUAACAGAUAUGAGAAACGAUCCCCUAAUAUCUUGGACUGAACUAUAUUUUUCCUGUUUAGCGGUUCGAUCCCAAUCCAGUGCUUCCAGUUACCGGCGCACAGACUGAUCAGGUGGAGAGUGUGCUAAAAUCACGUUUUCAAGAGGUGCAGAAACUGAAGAAGGAGCUUGACCUAUUGAUUCUUAUUCUUCCAGAUAAUAAUGGCUCACUAUGGUAUGUAACCAUUUGAGAAAUUCUGAUUCUGAUAUUUGUAAUGGUCCAGUGCUUUUAUUGAAUGUCUGCGUAAUUGUCUGUCUGUGGUUUUGCUUGCAUUCACACUUCUGUGUAAUGGUAUCUGUCUCACUAAUCGCUGUUUAUGACUAUUCAUGAAGGCGAUCUAAAGAGAAUUUGUGAGACCGACCUUGGAAUAGUUUCACAUUGUUGCUUGACAAAACAUGUCUUCAAGAUGAGCAAGCAACACCUAGCGAAUAUGGCUUUAAAGAUAACGUCAAAGUUGGGGGAAGAAAUACAGUUCUUGUUGAUGCUUUAUCGAGGCGUAUUCCACUUGUCAGUGACCGGCCUACAAGCAUUUUUGGUGCCGAUGUCACCCAUCCUCAUCCUGGAGAAGAUUCCAGCCCCUUAAUUGCAGCAGUAUGAUAUAAAAUUUUAUAGAACUGCUUAUACAUACUUGAGUUAAUGUUUGUAUGUGUUAAUAUGAUUGCCUCUAUUUGACAGGAUUAUGUGUAUAUUAUUAAUUUCUUAUCAUCUAUUGUUGCUUAAAUUUGAUAUGAGAUUUGUUAUAUAAAUUUCAGGUCGUUGCUUCACAAGAUUGGCCAGAGAUAACAAAGUGUGCUGAAUUGGUUUGUGCUCAAGCCCAUAGACAAGAGCUUAUUCAGGAUCUGUACAANUUUAUUUCAGUCUUAGUUGCAUGGUCGGCCUCAAAGCCUACCACCAUCCUGUUUUGCUAGUUACACUAUUUUAUGGAUCGGGGAAUCAAGUUAGAUCUAUAAAUUGAGGUUUUCUAUUAGAAACAAAUGAUAUCUAACAAACACCUGAAUUUGUAUUAUAUGGCAAGUUAUCUGACAUGGUUUUUAUAUCUUGAACAAUGAACAUUAUAUUCUGUUUGUAGAUUGGUUUGAUAUGCUCCCAUUAGCUUUUACCCCUUAAAACGAUAUUUGCCUUUUAAAUACCUGGUUUUCGGUUGUAUCAGGCAAGGGAAUUAACUAGCAAAGAAGCACUAGUUUUGCGUCUGCAAAAGCAGUAUCCAGAUGAUAUUGGCAUCAUAGCGGCCCUGCUUUUUAAUUACAUUAAGCUUAAGCCUGGAGAAGCUUUGUAUCUGGGAGCAAACGAACCUCAUGCAUACAUAUUUGGUGAAUGCAUUGAGUGCAUGGCUACUUCAGAUAAUGUUGUACGAGCUGGGCUUACUCCAAAGAAGCGUGAUACUGAGAUCUUGUGUUCUAUGCUGACAUAUAAACAGGUUUGUAAGAAGCCUCGGAGCUUCACCCCUAGACGUAGGCUGCUUUUCUUAUACAGUAAGAUGGUUGUGGAUACUGGUCAGGAAGUGGCUAAUACCAUUUCUUAAAAACACUGUUUCUUCUUUUAUAUAUUGGACUGAAUUUCACCUCAGGCACAAAUGUAAUCCUGUUUUUUGCAGGGCUCUCCUGAAAUUUUGCCAGGAGUCAACAUAAAUUCAAGUAUAAAAAGAUACACUCCUCCUCUCGAUGAAUUUGAGAUUGAUCAUUGUGUUCUCAAGGAUGAGAACUCUGUUGUUUUCCCUGUGGUACCCGGCCCUUCAAUCUUUUUGGUCACAGCAGGCAAUGGAACAAUGAAGUCAGAAGCUGAAGAAAUAGUUUCUGAGGGCGAUGUGAUGUUCGCACCAGCCAACAGUCGUAUCUGUGUCACUGCUGCAUCGGAGUUGCAUCUGUACAGAGCCGGAGUGAAUAGCAGAUUUUUUAGGCUGGACUGACCAAUGCUUUCACCUGUGAUAUUAGUAGUCAUUUUAGCUUCAUAUGGUGUGAGAAUUAAUGCCGUGUCUGUAUGUUAGCAUAUUUAAAAGUAGUUUUUAAUAUAUAAUCCAGUACAAUAAGUUUAAGUAAUACAUCUAUGAGCUAUCUCUGUGCAUAUAUCCCUUCCUAAGUGAUGAAUAGUUGCAUAGGAGAUAUGCAGAUGCACUAGUGUCUGUAUCUGCAUAUGUUCCUGCAGGCUGAAACUAUUGAGUGUGCAACAUAGUUCAUCAAGUUAUUGGAUACCGUAAUAACUUAUAUUGAUGGCAUAAAGGUCUUGUGCCAAUUAUUGCCACAUUGUUGUUCUUCACAAGUUAUGCAAUUUUCACUUCCAGGCUGAUAUAUUUCUGGUGCCCCAGAUUGAUGCAGCAAUUAAAAGGUUCAACAUUGAUAUGGUAGGCUGUCUUCCUUCCUCAAACUUUGAAUAUCUAAUGGCCAGUGUGCUUUAGACUUUCCUUCAUCUAGGCAAGCUUAUGAUGUUAUUGCUGGUGACAGAUUAAAGUCCGAGUCAAGCAUGCAACCUGUCCGGUAAAAGUUAUACUCCCAAGAUUCAAGAAACACCUAAUAAUAUGGUAGUGCAGGCAGGCAUGUAGACUACAAUUAUAUCGGCAUUCUGUGAUUGUAAUUUUUAUUCUUUUUUCUUGAAGAAUAAAAAUGUAAAUGAUAAUAUUGCUUGAAUUGGUUCCUUUAAAGUCAGGGCAUUGCAUUUGUAACCCCGUAUGAAAUAGUACUACAAAUGCUGAUAAAAAAGUACUAGAAGCGCUGAUGAAAAGUUGCACAACCGUGCACCGCUUUGUUCUAAUUUAUUGAUGUUUGCUUCAGAAAAUGGUUGAUGGAGGAAUUGUUAAUAAUUGGAUGUGUGUGAACUUUGCACAAAAUGUUCAAGAUAAUUUGGCUAGCGGGUUUUGUUCAAAACUCGCAUAGAUGUGCACAAUAUCAGGUAUGGUAUAUACCGCAAGACCUCUUUGUCUUGAUGUUCUCUACAUAUUGUCAAGUAUAUGAUAUCAGACAAGAAGAUAUGGCUAGGAUAUC
RNAcentral lists this long non-coding RNA (5104 nucleotides) under Daucus carota (carrot). RNAcentral's name for it is "long non-coding RNA (DCAR_LNC003486)". Lineage: Eukaryota; Viridiplantae; Streptophyta; Magnoliopsida; Apiales; Apiaceae. The record is from RNAcentral.